This 301-nucleotide ribosomal RNA is filed under the name uncultured bacterium. RNAcentral's name for it is "partial 16S ribosomal RNA". It matches the Rfam family "Bacterial small subunit ribosomal RNA", at positions 509 to 808 of the family's 1533-position model. The record is from RNAcentral.
CAGUCGCCACGGGGAAUACGUAGGGUGCAAGCGUUAAUCGGAAUUACUGGGCGUAAAGCGUGCGCAGGCGGUUAUAUAAGACAGAUGUGAAAUCCCCGGGCUCAACCUGGGAACUGCAUUUGUGACUGUAUAGCUAGAGUACGGCAGAGGGGGAUGGAAUUCCGCGUGUAGCAGUGAAAUGCGUAGAUAUGCGGAGGAACACCGAUGGCGAAGGCAAUCCCCUGGGCCUGUACUGACGCUCAUGCACGAAAGCGUGGGGAGCAAACAGGAUUAGAUACCCGGGUAGUCCCUGUCUCUUAUA